RNAcentral lists this ribosomal RNA (442 nucleotides) under uncultured bacterium. Its description in RNAcentral is "partial 16S ribosomal RNA". It matches the Rfam family "Bacterial small subunit ribosomal RNA", at positions 338 to 795 of the family's 1533-position model. The record is from RNAcentral.
CCUACGGGAGGCAGCAGUGGGGGAUAUUGCACAAUGGGGGAAACCCUGAUGCAGCGACGCCGCGUGGGCGAAGAAGUAUUUCGGUAUGUAAAGCCCUAUCAGCAGGGAAGAAGAAAGGAGGUUACUGGAGAAAGAACCACGGGUCAAAAACGUCCCAGCACCCGCGGUAAUACGUAGGGUGCAAGGGUAACCCGGAUUAAUUGGGUGGAAAGGGAGCGCAGGAGGGAAGGCAAGCCCGAAGUGAAAGCCCGGGGCCCAACCACGGGACUGCAUUGGAAACUACCAGGCUGGAGUGCCGGAGAGGUAAGCGGAAUUCCUAGUGUAGCGGUGAAAUGCGUAGAUAUUAGGAGGAACACCAGUGGCGAAGGCGGCCUACUGGACCGUAACUGACGUUGAGGCUCGAAAGCGUGGGGAGCAAACAGGAUUAGAUACCCUUGUAGUC